Molecule: ribosomal RNA, 319 nt
Filed under: uncultured soil bacterium
Lineage: Bacteria
Description: bacterial SSU rRNA
Rfam family: Bacterial small subunit ribosomal RNA
Source: RNAcentral
AGAUUGAACGCUAGCGGGAUGCUUUACACAUGCAAGUCGAACGGCAGCGCGGACUUCGGUCUGGCGGCGAGUGGCGAACGGGUGAGUAAUAUAUCGGAACGUGCCCAGUAGCGGGGGAUAACUACGCGAAAGCGUGGCUAAUACCGCAUACGUCCUACGGGAGAAAGCGGGGGACCUUCGGGCCUCGCGCCAUUAGAUGAGCCUAGGUCGGAUUAGCUAGUUGGUGAGGUAAUGGCUCACCAAGGCGACGAAUCCGUAACUGGUCUGAGAGGAUGAUCAGUCACACUGGAACUGAGACACGGUCCAGACUCCUACGGGA